GGCCCAUUCGUCUAUCGGCCAGGACGCAAGAUUUUCAUUCUUGAAAGAGCAGUUCGAUUCUGCUAUGGGCUACCC
This 75-nucleotide transfer RNA is filed under the name Porphyromonadaceae bacterium. RNAcentral's name for it is "tRNA-Glu". It matches the Rfam family "tRNA". Rfam says of the family: Transfer RNA (tRNA) molecules are approximately 80 nucleotides in length. The record is from RNAcentral. Lineage: Bacteria; Pseudomonadati; Bacteroidota; Bacteroidia; Bacteroidales; Porphyromonadaceae.